This 247-nucleotide ribosomal RNA is filed under the name Mesorhizobium sp. RNAcentral's name for it is "partial 23S ribosomal RNA". It matches the Rfam family "Bacterial large subunit ribosomal RNA", at positions 87 to 219 of the family's 2925-position model. The record is from RNAcentral. Lineage: Bacteria; Pseudomonadati; Pseudomonadota; Alphaproteobacteria; Hyphomicrobiales; Phyllobacteriaceae.
UGCGAAUACCCUUUGAUCCGUAGAUCUCCGAAUGGGGAAACCCACCUAAGGUACUUGGAAAAUCAGAGCAGCAGGGCAACUGACGCGACAAUCCCAAAAGGAUUGAGCGUGGGGCGACGAUCUCUUUGGGAUCGCGCUGCUUUUGCUGCUGUGGUUUCCAAGUAUCGAUGAUAGGUAACUUAUCCUGAAUACAUAGGGAUAAAGUGGCGAACGCGGGGAACUGAAACAUCUAAGUACCCGUAGGAAA